Molecule: ribosomal RNA, 483 nt
Filed under: uncultured Glomeromycotina
Lineage: Eukaryota; Fungi; Glomeromycota
Description: SSU rRNA
Rfam family: Eukaryotic small subunit ribosomal RNA
Source: RNAcentral
CCAAUAGCGUAUAUUAAAGUUGUUGCAGUUAAAAAGCUCGUAGUUGAAUUUCGGGGUCAGCAGGUUGGUCGUGCCACUGGUAUGCACUGGUUUCGCUGAUUCCUCCUUUCUGAAGAACUGUAAUGCCAUUAAUUUGGUGUUGCAGGGAAACAGGACUGUUACUUUGAAAAAAUUAGAGUGUUUAAAGCAGGCUAACGCUUGAAUACAUUAGCAUGGAAUAAUGAAAUAGGACGUUAAUCCUAUUUUGUUGGUUUCUAGGAUCGACGUAAUGAUUAAUAGGGAUAGUUGGGGGCAUUAGUAUUCAAUUGUCAGAGGUGAAAUUCUUGGAUUUAUCGAAGACUAACUACUGCGAAAGCAUUUGCCAAGGAUGUUUUCAUUAAUCAAGAACGAAAGUUAGGGGAUCGAAGACGAUCAGAUACCGUCGUAGUCUUAACCAUAAACUAUGCCGACUAGGGAUCGGAUGAUGUUAUCUUUAAUGACUCA